GAGGGAGUAGCACAGUGGUAAAGUGCAUGCCUAGCAUGCACAAGGUCCUGGGUUCAAUCCCCAGUACCUCCA
This 72-nucleotide transfer RNA is filed under the name Camelus bactrianus (Bactrian camel). It matches the Rfam family "tRNA". From Rfam's summary of the family: Transfer RNA (tRNA) molecules are approximately 80 nucleotides in length. Their secondary structure includes four short double-helical elements and three loops (D, anti-codon, and T loops). The record is from Rfam by way of RNAcentral. RNAcentral also lists the same sequence under 2 other names. Lineage: Eukaryota; Metazoa; Chordata; Mammalia; Artiodactyla; Camelidae.